CCUACGGGAGGCAGCAGUGAGGAAUAUUGGUCAAUGGCCGUAAGGCUGAACCAGCCAAGUAGCGUGAGGGAAGACUGCCCUAUGGGUUGUAAACCUCUUUUAUGCGGGGAUAAAGGGGUCCACGUGUGGAUGUUUGCAGGUACCGCAUGAAUAAGGACCGGCUAAUUCCGUGCCAGCAGCCGCGGUAAUACGGAAGGUCCGGGCGUUAUCCGGAUUUAUUGGGUUUAAAGGGAGCGUAGGCCGGUCUUUAAGCGUGCCGUGAAAUUUUGUGGCUCAACCAUGAGAGUGCGGCGCGAACUGGCGACCUUGAGUGCGCGGCCGGCAGGCGGAAUUCGUGGUGUAGCGGUGAAAUGCUUAGAUAUCACGAAGAACCCCGAUUGCGAAGGCAGCCUGCCGCAGCGUUACUGCCGCUGACGCUCGAAAGCGCGGGUAUCGAACAGGAUUAGAUACCCGGGUAGUC
Molecule: ribosomal RNA, 460 nt
Filed under: uncultured bacterium
Lineage: Bacteria
Description: partial 16S ribosomal RNA
Rfam family: Bacterial small subunit ribosomal RNA
Source: RNAcentral